AUUGAACGCUGGCGGCAUGCCUUACACAUGCAAGUCGAACGGCAGCAUGGAGAGCUUGCUCUCUGAUGGCGAGUGGCGAACGGGUGAGUAAUGCAUCGGAACGUACCGUGUAAUGGGGGAUAACGUAGCGAAAGUUACGCUAAUACCGCAUACGACCUGAGGGUGAAAGCAGGGGAUCGCAAGACCUUGCGUUAUACGAGCGGCCGAUGUCAGAUUAGCUAGUUGGUGUGGUAAAGGCUCACCAAGGCGACGAUCUGUAGCGGGUCUGAGAGGAUGAUCCGCCACACUGGGACUGAGACCCGGCCCAGACUCCUACUGGAGGCAGCAGUGGGGAAUUUUGGACAAUGGGGGCAACCCUGAUCCAGCCAUGCCGCGUGAGUGAAGAAGGCCUUCGGGUUGUAAAGCUCUUUCGGCCGGGAAGAAAUCGCACAGGCUAAUACUCUGUGUGGAUGACGGUACCGGCAUAAGAAGCACCGGCUAACUACGUGCCAGCCGCCGCCGUAA
This 504-nucleotide ribosomal RNA is filed under the name uncultured bacterium. RNAcentral's name for it is "partial 16S ribosomal RNA". It matches the Rfam family "Bacterial small subunit ribosomal RNA", at positions 30 to 523 of the family's 1533-position model. The record is from RNAcentral.